CAGCCGCCGCGGUAAUACGAAGGGGGCUAGCGUUGUUCGGAAUCACUGGGCGUAAAGCGUGCGUAGGUGGUGGUUUAAGUCCGUUGUGAAAGCCCUGGGCUCAACCUGGGAAUUGCAGUGGAUACUGGGUCACUAGAGUGUGGUAGAGGAUAGUAGAAUUUCCGGUGUAGCAGUGAAAUGCGUAGAGAUCGGAAGGAACAUCUGUGGCGAAGGCGACUAUCUGGGCCAACACUGACACUGAGGCACGAAAGCGUGGGGAGCAAACAGGAUUAGAUACCCCAGUAGUCCCUGUCUCUUAUAC
This 301-nucleotide ribosomal RNA is filed under the name uncultured bacterium. RNAcentral describes it as "partial 16S ribosomal RNA". It matches the Rfam family "Bacterial small subunit ribosomal RNA", at positions 509 to 807 of the family's 1533-position model. The record is from RNAcentral.